CAAAGCAAAUAUGAUUUUCUUCUUAUGGAAACUCUGCCAGUUGCACAUUAAGAAAGUGACAGGUCAUCAUAGCAAACGGAGUUGAUUUCACUUACACUGAUACUACUUAGACCAAGGCUUAAAAAUAUGUUUAGUGCACAGGAGCACAAGAUCUCUUGAAAUUUAUGCAAGACUCUGCACCUUGCUGUGAUUGAUUUUACAAAGAGCUUUAAAUAAUAUCUACUGGCUCGUUCAUUUUUGAACCACAGUGCACCAAUAUUCAGCAAAGAUGGUCCAAGACUGCAGGCAUCUUCUAGAACCAUAUGCCCAUCACACCCAGCCCUUCUCUCCUGAGCUGAUCUUUAGUGUCUGCGGUAGAGUGGGCUGAUCCUGCAACCACUGCUCCAACACGGUACAGUGACUGCACCAUAUAAUCCAGUGCUGCCAAUCAGAUCUGAACAAAAGAAAUAGCAGUUGUCUGACUGUGAAUCAUUUCUUCACCUUGAUUAAUCUUGUUUUAUUACAGUUCAAAAGAAGGAAACACCUGAUUCUGAGGCAGAGUGGUGAAUGUGGGAGCUUCAUACCAAUAAGCAGAAAAGCAGGGAGAUGCAAAGCGGCUCAUGGGAGUAGAACAUAACCAUGGAACUGGGAUCUCAAACAGAGGGCAGAUGACUGACAGGAGACCUCACAAGGUGGAUGUUUCCAUGGGAGGGUUUGUGUGGAGUGUCAGUGUUUGAGGGAUUUCAGUGUAAUACCUAUAUAUGCAGAACAGAAGUCAAUGAGAUAAGUAAAGAGGCCCAAAGUGUAUCUUGAAGGCAGUAUUUAAAAUGUCCUUUAAAAGGGUUGUCCUUGUACAUGUGGUUUAUACAACAGCAUGAUAGAUUAUCCUUCCCCAGGAGAAAAGACAAAAGGUAUUGAACAGUCUUCUGGUUAGUCUGCAUGAAGAUAGCACAGCUGCUUCUACAGCUAUGAUACACCUGGCUGUACUAUAACACAUACAGUACUCCAGUAAAAACUGCCUGCCUUAGGAAUAGCUAGAGAAUUUGUCUUAUAAGAUUAAUGCUUUCCUGUCAAUAUUUAGGUAGAUUUCUUUGUGUCUUUGUUUAGCACAUGUGAAAAAAUGUUGUUCACAGUGGGUUUUUGACUCUUGAA
Molecule: long non-coding RNA, 1131 nt
Organism: Trachemys scripta elegans
Lineage: Eukaryota; Metazoa; Chordata; Testudines; Emydidae
Exons: 3
Source: RefSeq, a predicted model, not a curated record